This 872-nucleotide ribosomal RNA is filed under the name Salmonella enterica subsp. enterica serovar Newport. RNAcentral's name for it is "bacterial SSU rRNA". It matches the Rfam family "Bacterial small subunit ribosomal RNA", at positions 262 to 1126 of the family's 1533-position model. Lineage: Bacteria; Pseudomonadati; Pseudomonadota; Gammaproteobacteria; Enterobacterales; Enterobacteriaceae. The record is from RNAcentral.
GGCUCACCAAGGCGACGAUCCCUAGCUGGUCUGAGAGGAUGACCAGCCACACUGGAACUGAGACACGGUCCAGACUCCUACGGGAGGCAGCAGUGGGGAAUAUUGCACAAUGGGCGCAAGCCUGAUGCAGCCAUGCCGCGUGUAUGAAGAAGGCCUUCGGGUUGUAAAGUACUUUCAGCGGGGAGGAAGGUGUUGCGGUUAAUAACCGCAGCAAUUGACGUUACCCGCAGAAGAAGCACCGGCUAACUCCGUGCCAGCAGCCGCGGUAAUACGGAGGGUGCAAGCGUUAAUCGGAAUUACUGGGCGUAAAGCGCACGCAGGCGGUCUGUCAAGUCGGAUGUGAAAUCCCCGGGCUCAACCUGGGAACUGCAUUCGAAACUGGCAGGCUUGAGUCUUGUAGAGGGGGGUAGAAUUCCAGGUGUAGCGGUGAAAUGCGUAGAGAUCUGGAGGAAUACCGGUGGCGAAGGCGGCCCCCUGGACAAAGACUGACGCUCAGGUGCGAAAGCGUGGGGAGCAAACAGGAUUAGAUACCCUGGUAGUCCACGCCGUAAACGAUGUCUACUUGGAGGUUGUGCCCUUGAGGCGUGGCUUCCGGAGCUAACGCGUUAAGUAGACCGCCUGGGGAGUACGGCCGCAAGGUUAAAACUCAAAUGAAUUGACGGGGGCCCGCACAAGCGGUGGAGCAUGUGGUUUAAUUCGAUGCAACGCGAAGAACCUUACCUGGUCUUGACAUCCACAGAACUUUCCAGAGAUGGAUUGGUGCCUUCGGGAACUGUGAGACAGGUGCUGCAUGGCUGUCGUCAGCUCGUGUUGUGAAAUGUUGGGUUAAGUCCCGCAACGAGCGCAACCCUUAUCCUUUGUUGCCAGCGGUC